RNAcentral lists this ribosomal RNA (1017 nucleotides) under uncultured bacterium. RNAcentral's name for it is "bacterial SSU rRNA". It matches the Rfam family "Bacterial small subunit ribosomal RNA", at positions 355 to 1375 of the family's 1533-position model. The record is from RNAcentral.
UGAGGAAUAUUGGUCAAUGGGCGCGAGCCUGAACCAGCCAAGUAGCGUGAAGGAUGAAGGUCCUACGGAUUGUAAACUUCUUUUAUAAGGGAAUAAAGUCACCCACGUGUGGGUGUUUGUAUGUACCUUAUGAAUAAGCAUCGGCUAACUCCGUGCCAGUAGCCGCGGUAAUACGGAGGAUGCGAGCGUUAUCCGGAUUUAUUGGGUUUAAAGGGAGCGUAGACGGGCCGUUAAGUCAGCUGUGAAAGUUUGAGGCUCAACCUUAAAAUUGCAGUUGAUACUGGCGUCCUUGAGUACGGUUGAGGCAGGCGGAAUUCGUGGUGUAGCGGUGAAAUGCUUAGAUAUCACGAAGAACCCCGAUUGCGAAGGCAGCCUGCUAAACCGCCACUGACGUUGAGGCUCGAAAGUGUGGGUAUCAAACAGGAUUAGAUACCCUGGUAGUCCACACGGUAAACGAUGGAUACUCGCUGUUGGCGAUAGACUGUCAGCGGCUUAGCGAAAGCGUUAAGUAUCCCACCUGGGGAGUACGCCGGCAACGGUGAAACUCAAAGGAAUUGACGGGGGCCCGCACAAGCGGAGGAACAUGUGGUUUAAUUCGAUGAUACGCGAGGAACCUUACCCGGGCUUAAAUUGCAGAUGAAUUACGGUGAAAGCCGUAAGCCGCAAGGCAUCUGUGAAGGUGCUGCAUGGUUGUCGUCAGCUCGUGCCGUGAGGUGUCGGCUUAAGUGCCAUAACGAGCGCAACCCUUGUUGUCAGUUACUAACAGGUUUUGCUGAGGACUCUGACAAGACUGCCAUCGUAAGAUGUGAGGAAGGUGGGGAUGACGUCAAAUCAGCACGGCCCUUACGUCCGGGGCUACACACGUGUUACAAUGGGGGGUACAGCAGGCAGCUACCGGGCGACCGGAUGCCAAUCCCGAAAGCCUCUCUCAGUUCGGACUGGAGUCUGCAACCCGACUCCACGAAGCUGGAUUCGCUAGUAAUCGCGCAUCAGCCACGGCGCGGUGAAUACGUUCCC